CACGGUGUGGUUCAUGACUGGGGUGAAGUCGUAACAAGGUAGCCGUAGGGGAACCUGCGGCUGGAUCACCUCCUUAAACGAAG
This 83-nucleotide ribosomal RNA is filed under the name Marinobacter adhaerens. RNAcentral's name for it is "partial 16S ribosomal RNA". It matches the Rfam family "Bacterial small subunit ribosomal RNA", at positions 1458 to 1533 of the family's 1533-position model. The record is from RNAcentral. Lineage: Bacteria; Pseudomonadati; Pseudomonadota; Gammaproteobacteria; Pseudomonadales; Marinobacteraceae.